RNAcentral lists this unclassified non-coding RNA (900 nucleotides) under Hevea brasiliensis (rubber tree). The record is from RNAcentral. Lineage: Eukaryota; Viridiplantae; Streptophyta; Magnoliopsida; Malpighiales; Euphorbiaceae.
CUCGCUCCACCGCAGCUGCAAAGGAAACUGAAGAUAUAAGUUUGCAAUUCCUUGUGGACAAUCAUUCAAACAAGGUGUUAUAUGCAGAGACAGGGAAGGCUUUCGUGGACCUUCUCUUUGGUUUCCUACAGAUACCUUUAGGUUCCAUUGUUGGAAUUCUUCAAGAAAAACACAUGAAUGUGUCUGGUUCCUUAGGUAGAGUUUUUGAGAGUGUAAAAGAGCUGGAACCCAGAUUUUUCCUAUCGCAAACAGUCAAAGAAUAUCUCUUGAAACCUGAGGUGGCCUCAGCCUCUUGUAUCCCUCCACUUCUCCAAAACUUUGUCAAUACAAAACAACUGAACUCUGAAACUUUGGCUACUUCACCCUUCGUCUUUGCGAGUCCGGGAUCUCCUUUAAUUUUAAGUCCGGCAGCGGCAGGGGAAGAAGUGAUGGGGUUUGUUAAAGAAUGUGAAACAAAGUAUAUAGUAAUGGAUGAUUUAAGGGUGUUCCCACUGUCAAGUAUUUAUCUUGUUGAUCUCCUCAAGAAAUUCAAUGUCAAUGAUACUAGCUUUCGGGAGGUCAAGAUUGAUCUCAACAAGUGCUUGGAGAUAGUGAAGGCCUCGUUAGAGUCUGAUACAGUUCUCACAGACGUGUUCAUUGGAAAGAAUUUCCCAAGAAAAGGAAGUAGAUUCAUCGCUACUUGAAGGAAGCAGAUCUAUCCAUAUUUAAUUUGAAAAAUGGUUUGUUUUUGUUUAAAUUGAGAGCCCAGUAUACAGAUAAAGAGACUUCGGCCUCUCUCUCCUUAGAGAGAGAUUUUUCUAUGUUUGUUUCUUCUCUGGGAGCGUCUGUCUCUGUCUCCCUGGAUUUAGCGGCCUCCUCUGCUCCAUCCGAGUGGAGGAGGCCUCCUCCUCCUCCUCCUGC